This is a long non-coding RNA of Pseudopipra pipra, 1183 nucleotides long. RefSeq lists it as uncharacterized. The transcript is spliced from 3 exons. The record is from RefSeq and is a predicted model, not a curated record. Lineage: Eukaryota; Metazoa; Chordata; Aves; Passeriformes; Pipridae.
AUGACCUAACACCUCCUUGUCAACCAGGUGUCUCUGGCUGCUGCAGCUUGGGAAAAUUAGCAAACACCUUGGGCAUGGGCUGGAAACGGAAGCGUGAUUGUCAGUGCCUGGUCACUGGAGUGCCACCUUGGAGGCUGGCUUAGGCACAAGAGCAGCUCUCAGCCUGCCCCAGCACCCAAACAUCCUAUAAAAGGACAAAAUAGGAUUAUGCAAGGCAGAUCAAUCAAUAGUACAACUCCUGUAUUGAAGGAGAUCCCCGUGACUGAUUCUCAGCUGAAAUGACUGCGUGGCUCCAGCUCAGGAAAAGCACUGACAUUCCUGUCUCCCAGACUGCUCCCACCCAUUAUCUAACUGACUGGAAAGGGAGGAGAGUUGAUACUGAUUUCCUGGCUGGGCAAUCACUGAUAUAAAGAUCAAUUAUUCCCUGUAUGGAUAAGGAUAUCUCAGCUUCCCUCAGAUCCCAGACAGGAAAGCUGUUGAACAGUCAGUAAGGGGUGAAGAUCCUCAUCCACCAGAAGUACCCAGACUAUGUUUGAAGUCUUCUCUCUUUAUUUAAACUGCCUGGCACCACUGAGAUGCCUGAGGUGCUUUCUGUGGGUGAAAAACAAUAGUAUCUAAUACAGGGAAUGAAGCAACAAGAUGCUCUGAUUCCUGUGAUGGCCUUGGCUGGAGCUUGGAAGCUGAUUUCUGGAAUUUUCCCAUAGGGAAAAUGGACACCAAAGAUGGUUCCACUUCAGAUCUUUCUGGGCCAAGGCACAGAAUGACUGGAGCAAAUCCGAGAGCAGGGACCACGUGGCAGAAGCACCUUAAUGGGGACCUGAUCCAUCAUCCUCUGAUAAAGGACCUGGUCACACCUACAAGGCUCUAAAAUGCUCCUGCUGGGAAGUUUUUGGAGCUGAAGUGUCAGGGUCCAGGCAAGAUUAGUGCUGCAGAAAAAAAACUGCACAAGGAGUUAAACCCCUUCCAAACUGUGCAGGCACUGAGCAGAAUAUUAGGGACAACAGACUUGGACAUGAGCAUCCAAACGUAUUUUGGUGGACAAGACAAUCAAGUUCAUUAUUGGGUCUAACCCUGAGUAUUUUUCAUGCUGUUUCUUUUGCCAGGCCUUGGAGUCAUGUGCUGGAAAUACUCUCCUGGAGAUGAACUGCUAAUCCACAUUUAUACUGGGUAAUAAAACUGUAAA